Molecule: ribosomal RNA, 484 nt
Filed under: uncultured bacterium
Lineage: Bacteria
Description: partial 16S ribosomal RNA
Rfam family: Bacterial small subunit ribosomal RNA
Source: RNAcentral
GACGAACGCUGGCGGCGUGCUUAACACAUGCAAGACGAACGAUGAACCCGGAGCUUGCUCCGGCGGAUUAGUGGCGAACGGGUGAGUAACACGUGAGUAACCUGCCCUUGACUCUGGGAUAACUGCGGGAAACUGUAGCUAAUACCGGAUACGACCCUCGGCGGCAUCGCCAGGGGGUGGAAAGAAUUUCGGUCAAGGAUGGACUCGCGGCCUAUCAGCUAGUUGGUGAGGUAACGGCUCACCAAGGCGACGACGGGUAGCCGGCCUGAGAGGGUGACCUGCCACACUAGGACUGAGACACGGCCCAGACUCCUACGGGAGGCAGCAGUGGGGAAUAAUGCACAAUGGGCGCAAGCCUGAGGCAGCAUCGCCGCGUGAGGGAUGACGGCCUUCGGGUUGUAAACCUCUUUUAGUAGGGAAGAAGCGAAAGUGACGGUACCUGCAGAAAAAGCACCGGCUAACUACGUGCCAGCCGCCGCGGUAA